Molecule: unclassified non-coding RNA, 378 nt
Filed under: plant metagenome
Description: partial contains 5.8S ribosomal RNA, internal transcribed spacer 2, and large subunit ribosomal RNA
Rfam family: 5.8S ribosomal RNA (bases 1-105)
Source: RNAcentral
GAAAUGCGAUAAGUAAUGUGAAUUGCAGAAUUCAGUGAAUCAUCGAAUCUUUGAACGCACCUUGCGCUCCUUGGUAUUCCUUGGAGCAUGCCUGUUUGAUUAUCAUGAAAUCUUCAAAGUAAAUCUUUUGUUAACUCAAUUGGUUUCUACUUUGGUAUUGGAGGUCUUUGCAGCUUCACACCUGCUCCUCUUUGUUCAUUAGCUGGAUCUCAGUGUUAUGCUUGGUUCCACUCGGCGUGAUAAGUUAUCUAUCGCUGAGGACACUGUAAAAGGUGGCCAAGGUAAAUGCACAUGAACCGCUUCUAAUAGUCCAUUGACUUGGACAAUACUUUUAUGAUCUGAUCUCAAAUCAGGUAGGACUACCCGCUGAACUUAAGC